RNAcentral lists this ribosomal RNA (553 nucleotides) under uncultured bacterium. RNAcentral describes it as "partial 16S ribosomal RNA". It matches the Rfam family "Bacterial small subunit ribosomal RNA", at positions 356 to 901 of the family's 1533-position model. The record is from RNAcentral.
AGGGAAUCUUCCACAAUGGACGCAAGUCUGAUGGAGCAACGCCGCGUGAGUGAAGAAGGUCUUCGGAUCGUAAAGCUCUGUUGUUGGUGAAGAAGGAUAGAGGCAGUAACUGGUCUUUAUUUGACGGUAAUCAACCAGAAAGUCACGGCUAACUACGUGCCAGCAGCCGCGGUAAUACGUGGUGGCAAGCGUUGUCCGGAUUUAUUGGGCGUAAAGCGAGCGCAGGCGGAAUGAUAAGUCUGAUGUGAAAGCCCACGGCUCAACCGUGGAACUGCAUCGGAAACUGUCAUUCUUGAGUGCAGAAGAGGAGAGUGGAACUCCAUGUGUAGCGGUGGAAUGCGUAGAUAUAUGGAAGAACACCAGUGGCGAAGGCGGCUCUCUGGUCUGCAACUGACGCUGAGGCUCGAAAGCAUGGGUAGCGAACAGGAUUAGAUACCCUGGUAGUCCAUGCCGUAAACGAUGAGCGCUAGGUGUUGGGGACUUUCCGGUCCUCAGUGCCGCAGCAAACGCAUUAAGCGCUCCGCCUGGGGAGUACGACCGCAAGGUUGAAACG